UCGAUAACGAACGAGACCUCGACCUGCUAAAUAGUUCGGCGAACCCUUCGGGGUUCGCGCGUGACUUCUUAGAGGGACUAUCGGUGUGUAGCCGGUGGAAGUUCGAGGCAAUAACAGGUCUGUGAUGCCCUUAGAUGUUCUGGGCCGCACGCGCGCUACACUGAUUCGUUCAUCGAGCUUACAACCUUGACCGGCAGGUCUGGGUAAUCUUCUCAACGCGAAUCGUGCUGGGGAUAGAUUAUUGUAAUUUUUAAUCUUAAACGAGGAAUUCCUAGUAAACGCAAGUCAUCAACUUGCAUUGAUUACGUCCCUGCCCUUUGUACACACCGCCCGUCGCUACUACCGAUUGAAUGGCU
RNAcentral lists this ribosomal RNA (356 nucleotides) under uncultured eukaryote. RNAcentral describes it as "SSU rRNA". It matches the Rfam family "Eukaryotic small subunit ribosomal RNA", at positions 1325 to 1698 of the family's 1831-position model. The record is from RNAcentral.